Ribosomal RNA from Cladophialophora immunda, 120 nucleotides. Lineage: Eukaryota; Fungi; Ascomycota; Eurotiomycetes; Chaetothyriales; Herpotrichiellaceae. The record is from Rfam.
GCAAUCGACCACAGGACUGGGAAUGCAGGUCUUCCCGUUCGCUCAGACGUACUUAAGCCCAGUACCGGCCGGUUAGUACUAAGUUGGGGGACCACUUGGGAAUCCCGGCUGUCGAUUGUU